CCUCCACGACUAAUUCGCGGCCGCAUCGACCACCACCAGGAGUGGAGCCUGCGGCUUAAUUUGACACAACACGGGAAACCUCACCCGGCCCGGACACGGACAGGAUUGACAGAUUGAGAGCUCUUUCUCGAUUCCGUGGGUGGUGGUGCAUGGCCGUUCUUAGUUGGUGUAGCGAUUUGUCUGGUUAAUUCCGAUAACGAACGAGACUCUGGCAUGCUAACUAGUUACGCGACCCCCGAGCGGUCGGCGUCCAACUUCUUAGAGGGACAAG
RNAcentral lists this ribosomal RNA (271 nucleotides) under uncultured eukaryote. RNAcentral's name for it is "partial 18S ribosomal RNA". The stretch from base 31 to 271 matches the Rfam family "Eukaryotic small subunit ribosomal RNA", at positions 1165 to 1423 of the family's 1831-position model. The record is from RNAcentral.